RNAcentral lists this non-coding RNA (1081 nucleotides) under Caenorhabditis japonica. RNAcentral describes it as "Eukaryotic small subunit ribosomal RNA". It matches the Rfam family "Eukaryotic small subunit ribosomal RNA", at positions 714 to 1831 of the family's 1831-position model. The record is from Rfam by way of RNAcentral. Lineage: Eukaryota; Metazoa; Nematoda; Chromadorea; Rhabditida; Rhabditidae.
GGUUUGAGGUUGGGUUCGCCCUUCAACUGCCAGCAGGUUUACCUUGAAUAAAUCAGAGUGCUCAAUACAGGCGCUUGCUUGAAUAGCUCAUCAUGGAAUAAUGAAACAGGACUUCGGUUCUUUUUGUUGGUUCUAGAAUUGAUCUAAUGGUUAAGAGGGACAAACCGGGGGCAUUCGUAUCAUUACGCGAGAGGUGAAAUUCGUGGACCGUAGUGAGACGCCCAAUAGCGAAAGCAUUUGCCAAGAAUGUCUUCAUUAAUCAAGAACGAAAGUCAGAGGUUCGAAGGCGAUUAGAUACCGCCCUAGUUCUGACCGUAAACGAUGCCAUCUCGCGAUUCGGAGGGUUCAUGCCCUACCGAGGAGCUACCCGGAAACGAAAGUCUUUCGGUUCCGGGGGUAGUAUGGUUGCAAAGCUGAAACUUAAAGAAAUUGACGGAAGGGCACCACAAGGCGUGGAGCUUGCGGCUUAAUUUGACUCAACACGGGAAAACUCACCCGGUCCGGACACUAUUAGGACUGACAGAUUGAAAGCUCUUUCUCGAUUUGGUGGUUGGUGGUGCAUGGCCGUUCUUAGUUGGUGGAGUGAUUUGUCUGGUUUAUUCCGAUAACGAGCGAGACUCUAGCCUGCUAAAUAGUCGACGAAUCUUCGGGUUCGUAUAACUUCUUAGAGGGAUAAGCGGUGUUUAGCCGCACGAGAUUGAGCGAUAACAGGUCUGUGAUGCCCUUAGAUGUCCGGGGCUGCACGCGUGCUACACUGGUGGAGUCAGCGGGUUUUUCCUAUGCCGAAAGGUAUCGGUAAACCGUUGAACUUCUUCCAUGUCCGGGAUAGGGUAUUGUAAUUAUUACCCUUAAACGAGGAAUGCCUAGUAAGUGUGAGUCAUCAGCUCACGUUGAUUACGUCCCUGCCCUUUGUACACACCGCCCGUCGCUAUCCGGGACUGAACUGAUUCGAGAAGAGUGGGGACUGUGGCUGCGAGGUUUUACCACUUCGCAGUUGCGGAAACCAUUUUUAUCGCAUUGGUUUGAACCGGGUAAAAGUCGUAACAAGGUAGCUGUAGGUGAACCUGCAGCUGGAUCAUCG